CCUACGGGAGGCAGCAGUGGGGAAUAUUGGACAAUGGGCGCAAGCCUGAUCCAGCCAUGCCGCGUGUGUGAAGAAGGCCUUCGGGUUGUAAAGCACUUUUAUCCGGAAAGAAAAGCUUUGGGUUAAUACCCUGAAGUCAUGACGGUACCGGAAGAAUAAGCACCGGCUAACUUCGUGCCAGCAGCCGCGGUAAUACGAAGGGUGCAAGCGUUACUCGGAAUUACUGGGCGUAAAGCGUGCGUAGGUGGUUUGUUAAGUCUGAUGUGAAAGCCCUAGGCUCAACCUGGGAAUUGCAUUGGAUACUGGCAGGCUAGAGUGCGGUAGAGGAUAGUGGAAUUCCCGGUGUAGCAGUGAAAUGCGUAGAGAUCGGGAGGAACAUCUGUGGCGAAGGCGACUAUCUGGGCCAGCACUGACACUGAGGCACGAAAGCGUGGGGAGCAAACAGGAUUAGAUACCCUGGUAGUCCACGCCCUAAACGAUGCGAACUGGAUGUUGGGUGCAACUAGGCACUCAGUAUCGAAGCUAACGCGUUAAGUUCGCCGCCUGGGGAGUACGGUCGCAAGACUGAAACUCAAAAGGAUUGACGG
RNAcentral lists this ribosomal RNA (587 nucleotides) under uncultured bacterium. RNAcentral's name for it is "bacterial SSU rRNA". It matches the Rfam family "Bacterial small subunit ribosomal RNA", at positions 338 to 916 of the family's 1533-position model. The record is from RNAcentral.